Molecule: long non-coding RNA, 2848 nt
Organism: Syngnathoides biaculeatus (alligator pipefish)
Lineage: Eukaryota; Metazoa; Chordata; Actinopteri; Syngnathiformes; Syngnathidae
Exons: 6
Source: RefSeq, a predicted model, not a curated record
GCGAGCGAGCGAGCGUCGGCAGGUGAAGCGUCGCCUGUCAACAGCGCCGACGACCAGGAAGUGCGAGCGAGGCGGCAGGUGCCGAGCUCCAACGGCGGCCCCCGCAUGUGGUUCGACUGGUUGGGGGGGGACGGACGACAACCGUUUCCCUGGAGAAAAAGGACAAAAGCGCAACGGGCCUGCUGGAGGCUCAUUUCACAAUUGGAGGACUUUUGCCACCCCCGUCAAUUUGCAAACACUCCAAAAAAAGCGACUCUUUCUUUUUCUUUUUCUCCUGAUCACUUCCAGAAUAGAACUGAGAACUACGUUUGCAAUCAGCUUUGGAUAUGUCUUCUUUGGACUUGUAAUACAGACAUCUUUUCAGAAGUAAUAAUUCUGCUCCAAAGUCGUUUCUCAACUUCCAUGCAAACUUCUCACUCGUCACCUUUUAGCCACAGAGAGGAAGAGAGAAAAAAAAAAGUGAGGUACAUGACUUGACUUUUCAGAAAUUUGGAGCAAGCGCAACGUGUGUGUGCCCAGCCAUCAUCUGAGCCACUUAUCCUCACAAGCAACCUAUCCCAGCGACCUUCAGGCAGGACCCUCAACUCCAAACAGGGAAAAGGACACAUUAUUCUACGAGGUUCACGGAAAUUGAGCUCGAUGGAUCAAAUCAUUAUUUAUGAGGAUAAGAUGUGAAAAUAACAGGGGGUAUUCAGUUGGAUGUUACGGCAGUCAAUCAUGGCAAAGUCGAUUCCUUUUCAGGAAAAAAAAAACCCCCACAAAACAAUCCCCUUCUAUCAAAAAAAAAACACACAAAAAAAAAAAAAACCCGACCAAAACUAAAAUGUGUGCACCGCGUCUUGAACAACAAACAAACUUUUUCUUCACAGUUGGUGUGUUUACGUGUUUUUUUUUUUUGGAGCAAAAAACAAAUCCGAGAUGUUGCGGUCCAGUGGCGGAAUGACCCUCGAGCCGUCGCCCCCGCAGGGCCGCAGGCGGGGUCGAGUCCUCUGAGCCGCCGUCGUGUCGGCGUCGUCGCCCUCGGCCGCUCGGCCGUGUCGGCGCAAAGCGGCUUCCCUCCUUCCUUCUCGCUCCUUUUUGGCACCCCGCGAGGUCACGUCGGCGCGUUCGCCAGCUUCCGCGCCAAAGUUGACAUUUUCUUUCAUUUGCGGGCAACCAAGACAAAUCCCAAAAGUUGUUUGGCAGCAGCAAGUCGACUUUGCGUCAAGUCAACUUAACUGUUGUUCUCGGAGGAAGGGAGGGGCCGGAAGUCGGGGGCAGGGGCCAGGGCGGCCUGGGGCCAGGUGAGUCAAGAUGAAGGCCAGGACUCGGGUGACCAGUUUUACCCGGAGACGCCCGCGGCCGCUCCGGACACGCCGCAGCGAGCCCGGCGUGUCCCGGGGCGAGGAAAGAGAGGCGAGGCCGCCAUCGAUCUUCUCUUCUUCACGUCGUCACGUCGGCCAUUGCUCUCUGCCCUCGCUUUUAUCGGAUCCAUCUCCAUCACCGAGAGUCCCGACUUCUCCAUUUUGGCCCUUUUCAUUCAAGUCGCAAAAACAAUUGUUGGAUUCGACUACCGGCAGAGCUUUCAAAUUUGUUUUAGCUUUUUUUUUUUUUUUUUCCUUUUUUUUGGACAAUUCAAGGAGUAGAAAGUCUCAAAAGGAAAAUAGUCACGUAAAGUACAGGUAACUCUACUGAAGUAGAGUUAUCAAAUACAUUUACUCUGUUACCAAGAGCAAAGCAGAAAUUGAAGCUUGUGAGGCUCGGACAUGCAGUACUCUCUGAAGCCAGACAUAUUGGGGCAGCAGGGAGCUCACAAACGAGAGAAAGGAGAAGAAGAAGAAGAAGCAGAUGAGGAAGAAAGCCCACUCAAAUGACGUAGAAUAAAAAGUCGACAGCGCGCAGGUGGUAAUUGGGCUUCGACUUCCGGUCAGGGCAAAACGUAAAUCCUUACAACUGUACACUGUGGAAGAUAAUAACAUCAAAUUUCACCGAUGUCAAUUUGAAAUUCCUGCUCCACGAAGACGAGAGGUGGGCGCGGCCCUUGACAUGUUUGGCAUGGGGAAAAUUAUUAAGAUCUGUACCUCCCAUUACUCAGAGCCUGUUGCCCUUGGCGGAACCAUUGCAGUCUCGUUUUCUACGUCAUUGACCCGAUCGCAGCACCUGCCGACAACAAACCAGCCUGGUUUUGCUUUGCGUUCUUGAGGAGUCACAGAUGGACAAAUUAUGCACAUUUGAGGAGCGCGGUGCUCGGGGUUGUUUUGGAGACGAUGCAUCGUGUGGAUGUGCCGCCGUGUCAUGAAAGCCUGGUCGGCCCCAGCGACCUUCAAGCUAGCGCGGCUACACGCCACGCAGAGGUGAAAGUUCACACGGCGUCCGGUGUCAACACGGCAAAAAGACCCAAAUCCCGACUUCCUCCAUUUGUGAAAAGUGUCAUUUUCAGCAAGGGAGGACGAGGACGAGUCAUUCACAGGAGAAGGCGAGGAAGGAGACGCUGCGCUAAUCGCUAAGCUAGCGUGACACCUUUUCACCAAAUAGCAAAAUAAGCAAAUGGCCGACACCGGACACUUGUCACGUCGCUCUGGCUUGAAUGGCAUUGUCGGACACGGAAACUUGAAAGAGCAAGUUUAAGAAGUAUCUGGAAAAGAAUAUUAAGAAAGAGCAGCACGGGACGCCGUCUGAAUGUAGCACGCACACCAAUGGAAUCGAUAGUUACGUUCAAUAGCAACUUGAUUUGUCCCACACUGAAGAAAUUUGCAUCCUUUCAGCAGCAAAAUUUGAUACUGCCAUUUCUUUUAGUAAUAAUUGGAAUCAUCAUUUCUUUUGUGCUUCACUCCGAUGUAGUUUUGUGCACACAAGGCGAAAUGGGACA